AUCAGAUCAAGUCUAGUAGGGUAGCUACACCCAUUCCUAGGCCAAAGGAUGUGGAUCUGGAAAAGGCACCAACAUCUGAAUGUGCAUAUGUUCUAUUGGCUGAGAGGCUGGAAAGGGGCGGUGGUUGAUGUCAUUGCUGCCGUCAUUCGUAGCUGGUGUAGUUAGGGUUAAGGUUUUUGGAGUGAGAAAUGAUGGAAGGAGAGGAUGUGCAUAGAGAAGGUAAGGGUAUAUUUGGAAUUUUAAGUGUGGACUGAGAUAAAGUAAAAAUCAAAUUACUAGAAGUGUGGAUUGAGAAAAGAUGUAUACAAAGAUGAUUUGGUGCGGAAAUAGAAUUUCCCAUGAUUAUGCCAUGAUUUUCAGGAAAUAAUUUUUUCCCAA
Camellia sinensis is the source of this 378-nucleotide non-coding RNA. The record is from RefSeq and is a predicted model, not a curated record. Lineage: Eukaryota; Viridiplantae; Streptophyta; Magnoliopsida; Ericales; Theaceae.